AUGAACCUUAUCAUGUAGAUUAGUUUUUUUAGAAUGUUUUGUUUGUAAUAUUCAGAUUUGAAGUGUUUGGUUAUGUUUUUAUAUAUAAUAUCGACCAAAUUAAAGUGUCAACGUAUAAGAAAACUUAUAAACAUACCAAAACUUAAAAAUUUCGAAAUUCAAAACUCGAGCGUUGGUAAUAAGUAGCUACUUGGUUGCAAAGUGCGACUGUGUUCUGUUGUCGUCGCAAAAACGUUGCACCUAGGGACUGUUUUGUGACAUUUUUGAAACAUUUUACAAAUAAAAAUGCUCUUUAGUCCCUAUUCGGUCGCACAAUAUUUACUCGAGAAACACUUAAUAAAUUUAACAAAAUUUUAAAACGUUGCACAAUCGUCGCAAUUUAGUCACAAAACAGUUACACAAACGUUGCAACGUGCGACUGUGUUCUGCAGUCGUCGCAAAAAAGUUGCACAAAGCGACUGUUUUGUGACAUUUUGGAAUAGGUCACAAGACAAAGUUUUGAAAUCCACAUAGUUCGAUCCAUUCUAUAGAUAAACAUUACUGAAAAACAACCAUUUUAGUACAUAAAGAACUUUAGGUAUAGAAAUGAUUGGUUUCAAACUUAUUUGAGAACUUGUUUGAAAAGAUCAAUCAUGAAAAUGAAUUCACAUGAACCUUAUCAUGUAGAUUAGGUUUUUUUGAAUGUUUGGUUUGUAAAAUUCAGAUUUGAAGUGUUUGGUUAUGUUUUUAUAUAUAAUAUCGACCAAAUUAAAGUGUCAACGUAUAAGAAAAAAUAUAAACAUACCAGAACUUAAAAAUUUCGAAAUUUAAAACUCGAGCGUUGGUAAUAAGUAGCUAAUUGGUUGCAAAGUGCGACUGUGUUCUGUUGUCGUCGCAAAAACGUUGCACCUAGCGACUGUUUUGUGACAUUUUUGAAAUAUUUUACAAAUAAAAAUGCUCGUUAGUCCCUAUUCGUUCGCACAAUAUUUACUCGAGAAACACUUAAUAAAUUUAACAAAAUUUUAAAACGUUGCACAAUCGUCGCAAUUUAGUCACAAAACAGUUACACAAACGUUGCAACGUGCGACUGUGUUCUGCUGUCGUCGCAAAAAAGUUGCACAAAGCGACUGUUUUGUGACAUUUUGGAAUAGGUCACAAGACAAACUUUUGAAAUCCACAUAGUUCGAUCCAUUCUAUAGAUAAACAUUACUGAAAAACAACCAUUUUAGUACAUAAAGAACUUUAGGUAUACAAAUGAUUGGUUUCAAACUUAUUUGAGAACUUGUUUGAAAAGAUCAAUCAUGAAAAUGAAUUCACAUGAACCUUAUCAUGUAGAUUAGGUUUUUUUGAAUGUUUGGUUUGUAAUAUUCAGAUUUGAAGUGUUUGGUGAUGUUUUUAUAUAUAAUAUCGACCAAAUUAAAGUGUCAACGUAUAAGAAAACAUAUAAACAUACAAGAACUUAAAAAUUUCGAAAUUUAAAACUCGAGCGUUGGUAAUAAGUAGCUAAUUGGUUGCAAAGUGCGACUGUGUUCUGUGGUCGUCGCAAAAACGUUGCACCUAGCGACUGUUUUGUGACAUUUUUGAAAUAUUUUACAAAUAAAAAUGCUCGUUAGUCCCUAUUCGGUCGCACAAUAUUUACUCGAGAAACACUUAAUAAAUUUAACAAAAUUUUAAAACGUUGCACAAUCGUCGCAAUUUAGUCACAAAACAGUUACACAAACGUUGCAACGUGCGACUGUGUUCUGCUGUCGUCGUAAAAAAGUUGCACAAAGCGACUGUUUUGUGACAUUUUGGAAUAGGUCACAAGACAAACUUUUGAAAUCCACAUAGUUCGAUCCAUUCUAUAGAUAAACAUUACUGAAAAACAUCCAUUUUAGUACAUAAAGAACUUUAGGUAUAGAAAUGAUUGGUUUCAAACUUAUUUGAGAACUUGUUUGAAAAGAUCAAUCAUGAAAAUGAAUUCACAUGAACCUUAUCAUGUAGAUUAGGUUUUUUUGAAUAUUUGGUUUGUAAUAUUCAGAUUUGAAGUGUUUGGUUAUGUUUUUAUAUAUAAUAUCGACCAAAUUAAAGUGUCAACGUAUAAGAAAACAUAUAAACAUACCAAAACUUAAAAAUUUCGAAAUUCAAAACUCGAGCGUUGGUAAUAAGUAGCUAAUUGGUUGCAAAGUGCGACUGUGUUCUGUUGUCGUCGUAAAAACGUUGCACCUAGCGACUGUUUUGUGACAUUUUUGAAACAUUUUACAAAUAAAAAUUCUCGUUAGUCCCUAUUCGGUUGCACAAUAUUUACUCGAGAAACACUUAAUAAAUUUAACAAAAUUUUAAAACGUUGCACAAUCGUCGCAAUUUAGUCACAAAACAGUUACACAAACGUUGCAACGUGCGACUGUGUUCUGCUGUCGUCGCAAAAAAGUUGCACAAAGCGACUGUUUUGUUAUAUUUUGGAAUAGGUCACAAGACAAACUUUUGAAAACCACAUAGUUUGAUCCAUUCUAUAGAUAAACAUUACUGAAAAACAACCAUUUUAGUACAUAAAGAACUUUAGGUAUACAAAUGAUUUGUUUCAAACUUAUUUGAGAACUUGUUUGAAAAGAUCAAUCAUGAAAAUAAAUUCACAUGCACCUUAUUAUGUAGAUUAGGUUUUUUUGAAUGUUUGGUUUGUAAUAUUCAGAUUUGAAGUGUUUGGUUAUGUUUUUAUAUAUAAUAUCGACCAAAUUAAAGUGUCAACGUAUAAGAAAACAUAUAAAUAUACCAGAACUUAAAAAUUUCGAAAUUCAAAACUCGAGCGUUGGUAAUAAGUAGCUAAUUGGUUGAAAAGUGCGACUGUGUUCUGUUGUCGUCGCAAAAACGUUGCACCUAGCGACUGUUUUGUGACAUUUUUGAAACAGUUUACAAAUAAAGAUGCUCGUUAGUCCCUAUUCGGUCGCACAAUAUAUACUCGAGAAACACUUAAUAAAUUUAACAAAAUUUUAAAACGUUGCACAAUCGUCGCAAUUUAGUCACAAAACAGUUACACAAACUUUGCAACGUGCGACUGUGUUCUGCUGUCGUCGCAAAAAAGUUGCACAAAGCGACUGUUUUGUGACAUUUUGGAAUAGGUCACAAGACAAACUUUUGAAAUCCACAUAGUUUGAUCCAUUCUAUACAUAAACAUUACUGAAAAACAACCAUUUUAGUACAUAAAGAACUUUAGGUAUAGAAAUGAUUGGUUUCAAACUUAUUUGAGAACUUGUUUGAAAAGAUCAAUCAUGAAAAUGAAUUCACAUGAACCUUAUCAUGUAGAUUAGUUUUUU
RNAcentral lists this small RNA (3269 nucleotides) under Arabidopsis thaliana (thale cress). RNAcentral's name for it is "ATSL264680". The record is from RNAcentral. Lineage: Eukaryota; Viridiplantae; Streptophyta; Magnoliopsida; Brassicales; Brassicaceae.